This 445-nucleotide ribosomal RNA is filed under the name uncultured bacterium. RNAcentral describes it as "partial 16S ribosomal RNA". It matches the Rfam family "Bacterial small subunit ribosomal RNA", at positions 331 to 792 of the family's 1533-position model. The record is from RNAcentral.
CCAGACUCCUACGGGAGGCAGCAGUGGGGGAUAUUGCACAAUGGGGGGAACCCUGAUGCAGCGACGCCGCGUGGGUGAAGGAGCGUUUCGGCGCGUAAAGCCCUAUCGGCAGGGAAGAAGGAGGACGGUACCUGACUAAGAAGCCCCGGCUAACUACGUGCCAGCAGCCGCGGUAAUACGUAGGGGGCAAGCGUUAUCCGGAUUUACUGGGUGUAAAGGGAGCGCAGACGGCAGUGCAAGUCUGGAGUGAAAGCCCGUGGCUUAACCACGGGACUGCUCUGGAAACUGUGCAGCUAGAGUGCAGGAGAGGCAGGCGGAAUUCCUAGUGUAGCGGUGAAAUGCGUAGAUAUUAGGAGGAACACCGGUGGCGAAGGCGGCCUGCUGGACUGUAACUGACGUUGAGGCUCGAAAGCGUGGGGAGCAAACAGGAUUAGAUACCCCGGUA